AUGUCCACCACGCUCGACCAAAGGGCACCGCCCCAUCCCCACGCGUCGCCCUGGAGGCUCGCGGAAGCCUCCAGAGCCGCCACGUUGAAACCCCUUGCUCGACCUACUCUACUCUCCCACCGCUUCGCUCCACCGAUCCAAACCCACUUCGCAAAACCUGUGCACGAAGGAGCCCCCAAACCCAACCAACUAGAACGAGUGAUAUCCAUGGAGAAGAAGGAUCUGCUCGGCGUCCGGACGAAGCCGGCGGCAGGGAAGCGGCGGCGCAAGGUGGCAGCUGGCCCGGGACUCGCCAAGGCGAUCGCGGAGUACCUCGCGUCCGACUCCUAUAUGUACGCGCCGCUGGUCUCAGAACCACAGGAGCAGGCGCCGCCGCAGCCCGCGGCAGCGCCUGCGACAAGUACACCUGGUUAG
RNAcentral lists this ribosomal RNA (414 nucleotides) under Triticum aestivum (bread wheat). RNAcentral's name for it is "partial small subunit ribosomal RNA". The record is from RNAcentral. Lineage: Eukaryota; Viridiplantae; Streptophyta; Magnoliopsida; Poales; Poaceae.